ACUAAGCCGCACUUGCAGCUGCAAUAUCAAAAACAAAAAGAUGCAAACUUAUGUUCCUUUUUGCUUGAUAUAAGCGGUGCAUGUAGGGGGUUAUGUUUUUUUAACCAAAUAUUCCUAUCUGUGUUUUGAAGUGAUGAAAUGAUAGCUAGUGCAGACUAACAGAAAUUACCAUAAUGAAGACACUGUUAUCUAUUUAAUUUGAACAAUGAGAUUAAAAUUUGAAUUAUCUAUUCAAUUCAAUUGAUAGAAGCAUGGAAACAAACGAGGAAGCA
Molecule: unclassified non-coding RNA, 272 nt
Filed under: Hevea brasiliensis (rubber tree)
Lineage: Eukaryota; Viridiplantae; Streptophyta; Magnoliopsida; Malpighiales; Euphorbiaceae
Source: RNAcentral